Molecule: ribosomal RNA, 253 nt
Filed under: uncultured bacterium
Lineage: Bacteria
Description: partial 16S ribosomal RNA
Rfam family: Bacterial small subunit ribosomal RNA
Source: RNAcentral
UACGGGGGGGGCAAGCGUUGUUCGGAAUUACUGGGCGUAAAGGGCGCGUAGGCGGCCUGCUAAGUCGGAUGUGAAGUCCCUCGGCUCAACCGAGGAACUGCAUCCGAUACUGGCGGGCUCGAAUCCGGGAGAGGGAUGUGGAAUUCCAGGUGUAGCGGUGAAAUGCGUAGAUAUCUGGAGGAACACCGGUGGCGAAGGCGGCAUCCUGGACCGGUAUUGACGCUGAGGCGCGAAAGCUAGGGGAGCAAACGGG